CAUUUAAGCACCUUUGCAGUUCCUUGCGCCCUCUGCGAUAAUGUAAAUCAUUUAAGAGGGGAUGGGAUCCCAGACUAUGGAAAGAGACUGUGGCUACAAUAAAGCCCAUUAACAGUCCCAAGUAUCCUCUGCAGUCAUGCAAAGGCAUUUAUGUGGGAAAGAUAUCUUAGGGUUAAAAGGGGGGGAAAGGGAUCCUAGGCUAAAAAAAGAAAAAAUGGGGAUUGUACCCACACUUAAGCACAACGACAGUCCCUUGUAUCUCCUUUGGUAAUGUAAAGGGAAUUAGGUGGGAAUGGGACCCUAGACUAACAGAAGGGACUAUAAUUGCAUUUAAGCAUACUUACCAGUCCCUUGUACACUCUGGGGUAAUGAAAAUAGAGUAGGAGGGAGGGGAACCUAGACUAAAAGAAGGGAAAUCAGAGCAAUUAAGCCCAUUAAAAAAGUCCUAUGUAAGCCCUGAAGUAAUACAAGGCAGUUAGGUGGGAUCCAGAUCCUGGUUACCAUAAAGGACUGUAGCUCUAUUUAAGUACAUUAACAGUCCCUAGUACCCUCCCCUGCAAUGCAAAUCAAAAAAGGCAUGGAUCCUAGAAUAACAGGAGGGACUGUAGCAGCAAUACAACUCAUUAACAGUCCCAAGUGUCCUCUGCACUCAUGCAAAGGAAGUUGAAUGGGGAUGGGAUCCUAGGUUAACAAUAGCUGCUUUUAAGCCCAUUACCAGUCACUUGUACAGUUGGUGAUAAUGCAAAGGGAGUUAGGUGGAAUGGGAUCCUAGGUUACAAAAAGAGGGGGACUAUGUGCAUUUAGCACAUUACCAUUCCCUUGAAACCUCUACGGUAAUGUAAUUCUUUAUGAGGGGAUAGAAUCCUAGACUAACGAAAGGGACAGCAGUGCAAUUAAGACCAUUAACAAGUCCCAUGCAGGCUCUGCAGCAAUGAAAAGGGAGAUAGGUGAGAAUGGGAUCCUAGGUUAUCAUAAGAGACUGUAGCUGUAUUUCAGCCCAUUAAGAGUCCCAAGUAUCCUUUGAAGCCAUGCAAAGGGCGUUAGUUGGGGCAUGAGAUUCUAGAUUAAUGUAAGAGAUUGUAGCUGCAUUUUAGCACAUUAACAGUCCAUUGUACCCCCCUUGGUAAUGCAAAUUGAGUAGGAGAGCUUGGGAAUCUAGACUAGUAGAAGGGACAGAGAAGAGCAAUGAAGCCCAUUAACAAGUCCCAUAUAGGCUCUGCAUCAAUGAGAAGAGUUAGGUGAGAAUGGGAUUCUAGCUUAACAUAAAGGACUGUAGCUGCAUUUAAGCACAUUGGUAGUCCAUUGUACAGUCUGUGGUUAUCAAAUCGUAUAAAAGAGGAUGGGAAUCUACACUAACAGAAGGUAACUGCAGUAAAGUUCACUAAUAGUCCCACAUAGGCUCUGCAGUUAUGAAAAGGGAGUUAGGUAGAAAUAGGAUGCUAGGUUAACACAAGAGCUGGAGCUCCACUUAAGCACAUAAAUAGUGCAUUACAGUCUCUUUAGUAAUGCAGAUAGAGUAGGAAGGCACGAGAAUCUAAACAAAUAAAAGGGACUAUAGCUCUAAUUAAGCCCA
This 1573-nucleotide long non-coding RNA is filed under the name Sus scrofa (pig). RNAcentral's name for it is "lncRNA (ENSSSCG00035025075.1)". The record is from RNAcentral. Lineage: Eukaryota; Metazoa; Chordata; Mammalia; Artiodactyla; Suidae.